UAACGGCUCAGGAGACACCAUUAUCACCAUGGUGGUUUUCCCAGGGUGAGGCUCACCCAUUGCACUCCGGGUGUGCUGACCCCUGUGAUUUCCCGCAAAUGCAGGAAACGCGACUGCAUAAUUUGUGGUAGUGGGGGACUGUGUUUGCGCUUUCCCCUG
RNAcentral lists this small nuclear RNA (159 nucleotides) under Chelydra serpentina (North American snapping turtle). Its description in RNAcentral is "U1 spliceosomal RNA (ENSCSRG00000019913.1)". It matches the Rfam family "U1 spliceosomal RNA". Rfam says of the family: U1 is a small nuclear RNA (snRNA) component of the spliceosome (involved in pre-mRNA splicing). Its 5' end forms complementary base pairs with the 5' splice junction, thus defining the 5' donor site of an intron. Lineage: Eukaryota; Metazoa; Chordata; Testudines; Chelydridae. The record is from Rfam by way of RNAcentral.